Long non-coding RNA from Rattus norvegicus (Norway rat), 2077 nucleotides. NCBI's taxonomy places the organism in Eukaryota, Metazoa, Chordata, Mammalia, Rodentia, Muridae. The record is from Ensembl.
UUUGCCAGAUAUCAGAUAUUUUAUUGUAAUAAGUACAUUCUGUAAUGUAAUGGCAUUGUCCUGCAAGUCCUAAUGACUUUUGCUCUAGAAGUGACAGUAAGUGACAAAGGGUAACAGCCGUUCAAAUAACCUCAUUUGUAUUCUUGAACAGAAGUCAAGUCAAUGACUGUGAGAUCACAAUUCAUUCAUUAAAAAGGAAAGGGCUCCUUCAAAGAAACAGCCUUUAAGCUGACGAGUUCUUAGCACUGGUCAUCUUUAAUGAUCUCCACAUCGCCCAGUAUGUGAUCAGAGGUAGUAAUUCCAGCCUACUAAAAGUGUACCAUGGGUUAUAAAAGAUGCUCAUUCUAAUCAGACACCUUUGUAGCUUGGUGCUGCUCACUCAAAGUAGGGGCUAGAAACGAGCUUCCUAUUAAACACUAAAAUGGGGAGUAAACUACUGCACUCUUGAUUUCCAACAAGGAGACUUCAUCUUGCCUACAGAGUAAGUUCCUACACAGGAGAGGGAAAGGUCUAGAAAACAGCAAAGGCAUCAAUCGGGCCUCUUCUGUGUUCUUUACAUAUGCUGUGAGCAGUAGCAGACUCUGUUCUACUUCAAACAAGGUGUGGCAGUGCACACCUUUAAUCCCAGCACUGGGGAAAGAGGCAAGUGGAUUGUUUGAGGCCAGCCUGGUCUCCACAGUGAGUACCAGGACAGCCAGGGCUUUAUAGAGAGCCUGUCUCUAGGAGAAAAAAAAAGGAGAGAGGAAAAGAAAAAACACAGAGACAUUGUUACACAGUGAUGACUUAGCAUGCACAUGCAAACACACACACACAGACAGACACAGACACACAGACAGACACAGACACACCUUUGAGUAUCUGGCAGGCCCACCAUUGCUGCACAGCUUGAGGAAUGAAUAGAAUCCUGCCCUAAACCCAAAAUCUCUAUCAGCAGCAAGACUGGAAAACAGAGGAGAACGGCUGGAGAGUCUGUCUGUAUCUACUCCCAGCCUACGUCUCAGGUGCUGGCCUCACCAGUGACAUACACUUCACAAGUUCUUCAUAAAAGCUUGGCAGCUCUCUUUCUGGGAGAAUUACGGUCAAACAAUUGGAGUUUCUCUUUAAACAAUAAAAAGGAGUUGCCAGAAAUCAGUGUGGCUGUGCAGGGAAGGCCUGUCCUCAGAAAAGGAGAAACUGAAACUAAAACUGACUCUUAAGACGGUCAGACCUUCGCCUCAUUUUGAACUGUAUCCAGACUCUUACAAUAACCAGUGUUUUCAGUUUACAAGUGAUUUAAGAUCAAAAUAAUAAAUUUUAAAGUUAAGCAAGAGUUGAAAACAUAAGUAUCAACAAGGCUUCUUGAGUGAAGUCUUGGACACAUACAACCCUGGGAAAGACUCAAGGCAUGCCAGGGCGUAAGGCACCAUCCACGCCUCGCUCUCUGUAUGCAGCACUGGACAUCCAGAAAGCAGGAUGGGACAGGAACUGGAAAGCAGGCUCCUCACGUCCUCUUGGCUGGCUUGGCUGUCAGCUGCUUCUCUCUUUCAAACUCCCUCUCUCGCUGCUGCUCUCUCUCCAGCUCCUCUUUCUGCCUCUGCUGCUGCAGCUUCAGUGCUCUUUUCUCUUGGAUGUUUUCUCGUGGAGCAGCAACAUCUCUUUCCUUAUGGUCACCAGCUUGGCGUGAUAGUGCUUCGCUUCCGUGAACUUAACACAUUGAUGUCCAGCAUGGAGUGGCAUUCUUUAAAUUUUGAAAUCUCUUGUUCCAGUGUAUCUAGUAACACAACUUGGUUCUGUGUGAGUUCCUGGAGUGCUCGCUUGGACCUCUGCAGAUCUGGUAGGUAGUGGGACAGCAGGCCUCCCACCAGGUGCUCUACAGCUCUGUCCUCCAAAGCCAAAUCCUCUAUCAGUCCUUCAUCUGGAGACCUGUCGCUUAAGCCUGCUCGCCGGCCUCCAGGCUGUCGGAGGGCCCCGUAAGGACCCCGUCCGGGGGCGGUGGCACAGGAACAUUCAUGUCCCUGCACUGGGCGCUGCGUUGGGCGAGUGGUGUGGAGAAGCCAAAGGCAAGACGUAGGAACCUAACAAGUUCGAGCGUCUAGUC